This 73-nucleotide transfer RNA is filed under the name Trichonephila inaurata madagascariensis. It matches the Rfam family "tRNA". From Rfam's summary of the family: Transfer RNA (tRNA) molecules are approximately 80 nucleotides in length. Their secondary structure includes four short double-helical elements and three loops (D, anti-codon, and T loops). Lineage: Eukaryota; Metazoa; Arthropoda; Arachnida; Araneae; Nephilidae. The record is from Rfam by way of RNAcentral.
GUCCCCGUAGCACAAUGCAUAGCGCGUUGGACUUCUAAUCCAAAGGGCGUGGGUUCGAAUUCCACCUGAGAUG